AAUCCAGUGGCAGACGGGUGAGGAACACGUGGGAUCUACCGUUCCGUUCGGAAUAACAGGGCGAAAGUCCUGCUAAUACCGGAUACGGUCGCGAGACGAAAGUGGUAACGCGCGGAACGAGGAGCCUGCGGCGGAUUAGGCAGUUGGUGGGGUAACGGCCUACCAAACCGAUGAUCCGUAGCUGGUCUGAGAGGAUGAUCAGCCACACUGGGACUGAGACACGGCCCAG
Molecule: ribosomal RNA, 229 nt
Filed under: uncultured bacterium
Lineage: Bacteria
Description: partial 16S ribosomal RNA
Rfam family: Bacterial small subunit ribosomal RNA
Source: RNAcentral